Numida meleagris (helmeted guineafowl) is the source of this 17883-nucleotide RNA transcript. It is a transcript of the gene named chromosome 8 C8orf48 homolog, with no coding region annotated. The record is from RefSeq and is a predicted model, not a curated record. Lineage: Eukaryota; Metazoa; Chordata; Aves; Galliformes; Numididae. The transcript has 14 exons.
CAGUGCCACGCAGGCUGGCUGUAAGGGAAGGCCCCGGCGUGUGGUUAUGGCAUUCUGAAGGGGAUUUGUCCUUUAAGAUAUAGAUUAAUAAUUAAAGGAAGGAAAUACCACGUCUGCCGCCAUGGAGCUUUAACCAGAAGGUGGAUGCAGAGGGCUUUCUCGUCAGCUGCUACUUGUAGUUGUUGCACCAUGACUACUACCUCAUCAGAUAGCUCUAGUGGCUAUGAAAAACAGCAGAAGGAAUUGAGCCGGAGUUAUGGUAGCUCUCUUUUUGACUAUUCAGAAGACACCUGGGAGCCCUUCAGUGAGGAAGAAGUAGCCUGCUGCCAGCCUGAGAGCAAAUCAUCUGAACUGUAUUGUUCCACAGAAGAUACAGAGCAUUCUUGUGUGUUGGAUCCAUUGGAAAGCAUGUUGUGGCUGGCAGGCCGGAAUCACACAGAAGAACCAUCUGAAGUAGUUGAUUCUGCAGCUGUAGAAAGAGAUUUCAUUGGGAAACUGAUUGAUGUCCUAAAAAAUAAGGAAGCUGGCAUUAAACAAGAGAAAUUAGUCAUCAAAACUCAUGCUGAAAUUACGGAGUUAUCAGAGGAAGAACUGAAUGCUCUCCAGUCUUUUUGCAUCAUUAAGAUAAGGAGGAUGCUGCGGGAGCUGAUCUCUAAGCAGGCAAGUGGUGGCAAGUCAAGAAAGCAGCAGCAUGGAUUCACAUCAAAGGCAUCAGAGGCAAGUGACUUGAACUGCUUUGUUCCCGAUGGGCUCAUGAACAGAAUCCGUCUGAAGAACUUCCGGGAGACCGUUAAGCAGGUGACAGAAGCUCAAGUGCACAAAUCUUCACUGUGCCCUGACUGUAAGAAGAAGAAGGCAGAGCUAGCCAAAAUGGCCUUUCUCAGACAGAAGAAGAUACUAAUGGAAAGAGCUCUACUCCAAGAAAAAUUGGAAGAACAAAUUUACUCCAGAGAUGUGCUCACGCUUAUAGGAGAAACACUCAGAAGCUUUCCUAAACUUUCAGAGGAUCCCAGGAACGUAUGGCAAAAACUGAAAGACAAAGCUGAAGGAUCGACCGCGUUCUGUGAACAUCUGAAAUCUUCAGCUUCAUUGAAAGGAUGAGGGCCGGACAUUUUAAGUGAGGUUGCUGAGUGCAGGCUGCAGGUGUCUAGCCUCUGUGAAGUGGAUGGAAAGCAGAGGAUGCAGGCUGGGGUCUGGCUGAUGAUGUGCUGCUGCUCCAGGUGGGCUUUGGUCUUCUACCAAAAGGCUCCAGAAACAGAAUGUAUGGAACGUGGCAAACAGAGGUUAUGGGUGACUUGAUGACAGCACACGCAAGGAGACAAAACUUGAUUCACUCUUCGGUGUGGCAGACCAAAGUGUGCAACAAGCUGAUUUGAAGCAAGGCUGGAGGUGGGUUUUUACUUUUUAACUAUACCAGUGAUUAAUUACAGGAAACCUUGUCCAGGCAUCGCAAUUACUUCUUACAACCAUUGUUUUCGGUUGGGCUCGCCCUCUAUUCUGUAACUCAGGCAAGGGGUUGUAUCAAGGAUGUCGUUUAUGGUCUUUGUUACAAAUGAAAUGAAACAAUUCAAAUGGUUCUUCCUGGAGGAUGAAAAAAAAGUUGUAUGCAUUUACCCUGGGGAGUGGAUGAUGGACGUUCUGUAAGGGAAACCUAAAAUGCUGGAGGGGGAAAAGACCAGUGCCUGUGCUGUAGCGUCCUACCAUCUCCUGUGGUCCUUGUCUGAAAUAUGCUUUUAAUUUAAUAUUUCUCUCACUUAUAGAAUGGAUAAUGGAGGAGAUCUCACGUUCUUCUCAAUUUAGGCAUUUCAAUAGCUUAAGAGAGUUUGUCAAUAUUGUAUUAACUGUACAGUCUGGCUGUGGUCCCUUGCUAAACCAUCUCUGACUGGAGAUGCAGGCUCACAUGGCAUGUGUCUGCUAGCUGUUUCUGUUACUUCUGUUCUCUGUGUUUAUUUGUUUAGAACCACGUCCGGGCUCACCUGGUGUCACUGAUUUCUGUAGGAUCAAGCACAGCUCUGAGUGUCUGGCUUCAGGGCUUUUAUUCCUUGUUCAUCUCUUCUAGGGAAGGCUGAUAAAAAGUAAUUCAAAGGUGCCCAGUGGGUGCAGAGCUACAAUAAGCUGAUGCUGUCUGUAAGCAGUGAUGAGACGACCUCAGCGGUCCUGCAGUAUGAUCAUACUCAUCCAAAUACAUAGAUGAGACAAUCUUGUUAAAUAAUUGAAGUGGUAUUAAGUUCAGGCAUCUCACAUUUAGUACUUUUCAACUCUCCUGCCACUUAUUCCAUUGCUCUUUGCAGAGAAAUUACACUUUCCUAGUUUUAGCGUUUGUUCUGCUCUGUGCCACUGGCUCCCAGCAGCUCCUGCAGACCUCCCGACCUCCCUCUUUCAGCCUCUAAUAUCAUGACUUGUUUCCAUGGAGACCAGAGUAAAGCGAUAAAUAAAUGUGGCUGGGAAUAGCAAGCUUCCACCUUCUGCAACUGGGAUAAAACCUGGGGAAUCAUUGCCUGCUCUGUGUUACACAGAGCACAGAGGAGCCCCUGGUACUCUCGGUGGCUUGCAGGCAGGGCUGACACAGUGUGGCUCAGCACCCCAAAUAUUCGGGGUACACUGAUUUUUGUGGCUUAAGAGUGUUUACUGAGCAACGUAUCUUCAGGUUGUGUGAGUGAAAAUAGUGCUGGUGCUUCUCUUGGACCUGGCUGAUGGAGAUGUAGCCUGGGAGCCAGAAGCACUUGGGUUUCGGUCCCAGUUGUGCCAGAAGAACAUUUCUUAUUCCUUCCCUGUGCUUUAUUCAUGAGGCUAUAAUACUUUUGGAGCAGGAAUCAUAGAAUCAUUAAGGUUGGAAAAGGCCAUGAAGAUCAUCUAGUCCAACCAUCAACCCGUCACCACCAUGCCCGCUAACCAUGUCCCUCAGUGCCACAUAGACCCUUUUCAGGGAUGGUGAUUCCCUGGGCAACCUGUUCCUAUACUUCACUACUCCUGAGAAGAAUUUUUUCCUAAUAUCCAAACUGGGAGGAAAUUCCUUUCUGGGAAUAGUUUAUGUGCUGUCAGUCCCAGGGAUGGCUUUGUUAUGGUUAAAGUUUUUAGGUAAUUCAAAAAUUGAAAAUUAAAAAAAAAUAAUCAGGAAUGCUUCUCAGUGCCAAUACUGUGUUUCAUUCUCCCACAUACUGGCAUCUGGUUGCAGGAAUUGGUCGGGGAUACUAAUGAUCACAGGGCUUGUGAAGCUGCCCCAUUAAUUAAAACAGAAAACUGGUCCUGGACUACACUGUGUGGCUUCAGACAGAAUUUUCCUCUGAUUCUCUGCUUAGAGAGAGGCUGUUUUCAGCAUAAAUGGCUUUUCUUUUUGGAGGAUUCAACUUAAUCCAGACCCACCAUGAAUAUUAUCUCACACGGUGGAGCAGGUGAAUUUUGUCAGACUGAAUGCUGUCUGAAGUUGUGGUAGGCUCUGUCUGAAUAACUCUAACCCCGACUUCUCUUUGCCUCUGGUGAAAUUAAAAGCUGAGCUCACAUCUGAAUGCUCAGGUGGUUCAUUUUAAAAUAAGUGAAAUAAAAUUUGGGACUUCCAAAGUGGGAUUGGAAACUUUAAAUCGUAUUAGAUCUGAACUGUCACCUCUUCAUGCUCAUUUUACUAUCAGCUCCUUUCUGUCUUGCCGCACUCAUUAAUUCUUCCCAAUAUCACAUUUGUCUGUGAUCAGGCAGUCUUUCCCAGGCCUUUUUAUUACUCAUUACUUGAAUCGCUCUCUCUUUAUCUUGUUUGAUUCUGCUGGGACACCUAGGGAAUUUUCCAAGCUAUGAGCACAGGAUUGUGCAGAAAUCACUGCCUGCCAUUGAUGCUUCAUUUGAAGAUGCUCUCUUGUGAUUUACCAAUAAACUAGCAAGACACUUUGCUGCUAGCAGCCUUAUACUGCUGAAAAUUGUUUUUCAGGUGAGAUGGUAAAUUAUGGUCUCUCGCUUCCUGUAGGCAUAGCUGCUUAAUAGAUCUAGUUUUGGUGUCUGAUGUAGUCAAACUAAAGGUCCCUAGUGUUUUCCUUCCCUUAUGUUACAAUAACAGUUGUUUUGUGCUGCUCUUCCCAGAAGGAGCUGCUUUUCAUUAGAGUUUCUACUUGCAGUAUGGAUUGAGGAAGGGAGACUGACAUGGCAAGAAAUACCUUCUUUCUUCACUCUUUUCAGAGGCAUGCUGUUGAUGUGCUGCACUCUAGACACUGGGUUUAGGUAUGUGUCUGUUCUUAUGUACUCCAGUCUGGAAUCAUAGAAUCAUAGAAUCGUUUGAGUUGGAAGGGACUUUUAAAUGUAAUCUAGUCUAACUCCUGAGAUUUAUGCUGCCAGCAGGAUACAGGUCUUAUGGCUGAAGGGAUGCUGGGGAGAACUGCUCUCUGUAGCUGCUUGGCCCUCUGAGGGGUGCCCUGUAGCACUACCUCAUUUAUUAUGGGCCUCCCGUUUUGGUUGUCUGAACAGUUGUGUUAGCAGUUUACUGCAAGUGAACGCUUAUUCCUCUCUCCUGCUCUCUCCAGUUCCUUCCUGUAAUGUUUGUUAACGUUAUCUUUAAGACUCCUCCUAAUUCUAAGUUCUGAAACAUGCUUCUGAUUAACUAUCACCUACAAAUGCCAUUUAAAAACAAAAUACCAGAAUUGUCCUUGAACACUUAUCUGUCCUUUUCCUGCUCCAGUGGGACUAAAUUAACCAAUUACAAAGAAAUAUGGAAAAUGAAAGUGCGUCAGGAACUGCAUGUCCUUUGUAGAAUCCUGUUUGACAGCCUGAUUAUCCUCAAGAAAAAAGAACCAUCCUGGUACAGUCCUGGAGGAGAAGGAUUAACAACCCUGGAAGCAAUGAAAGAAGAUUCACACUGAUGUGAAGAAGACAGAUGCGUGUGUAAUUCAAGUUCAUCUUGGCAGAGUCAUGCUGAAAAUGCCCAUCCGACAGUUUUAAUGCUGGCAGGAAAAGAGAAGUAUGAGGGGGCUGGGUAAGUGAUGGCUUGUUCCAGUGCAGCGUGAGCUCCAGUGGCGAAGCUGUGCUCACUAAGAAACCCUGUGCCCGGGGUGGCUGCUCUCUGUGAGUACACAUCAAGGUGACAGAGGACACCAGCUGAGACGAUCGCUCAACGUGGACUGCUAGUGCUCAGUGGUGAGAGAUGUGAGCUGUUUUUGCCUUGGGUGGCAAAGUGUAUCUGCACGGAAGAUUUGUGGCUAUACCUGAAUUUGGUGUAACGUGCUAGCACAGAUGCUGAUAGUAGGGUGGCUGCGGAAACAUAGAGCUCAGCACAGACCACUCACUGCCCUUCAGAAGGUAGGUGGAUAUAGCAGGCUUUCUGCACAAAGAAAUUGGAAAAUGCGUUAUUCUCAGUUGUUUGUUGAAAUGAGCCUCCUUCAAACACACACCUCCCGGGAAUCUGGUCAUCGCUUUGGUCUUCGUGGUCACAGCAGUGGUACACACAUUUGUCCUCUUUCCUUUCCUUAAGUUGUUUGCAUCGGUGGAGCGCAGCACCUCAGACUUAGCACUGUGCAGGGCUCUUGUGACAUCCUGGCAUCAGGGCAGUAAUGUGCGUUAUUACAGAAUUAGCAGGCUUUGGUAGUGCUGGAGCAUUCACAUGUAGCCUCAGUAGAAAUUCCUCUGGGGCUCAAUGUCUGUCAGUCCAGAAUGCUGAGCAGGAUUUCAGAAGGGAUAAAGCCUUGUGGGAAAGUGCCAGUAUUUCAUCUUACAAACAGCUGAGGCGAGGAAAGCAUUGCUGGCUGUUAUUGUGAUAGGUUUUAAUAACCGGUACGCCCUGACUGUGUUACAAAGUGGGAGGGGGCUAAAAUCUGAGCAAAAGAUGGGAUAGAUUUUCCUUUGAUUUAAGCUAGGUGCUUCAGCACAGGGGUAUUGGAUACCUGCAGGAUACAGCACGCCUGGAAAGGCAGGUGCUUUUGUAAAUAAAGUUUCUGUACUGAUGGUACAAGUGAGGAAGGCUUGGGUGAGGCAUCGUGGUUCUGAAUUGGUGACCUCCAUCUGGGUUAUUUUUCUGUGGAGAGCGUCCAUCAGCACACUUAACAUUUUGAUUUAAUACAACCAAGCAACCAUCUGCUGGCUGGAAAACACAGCAAGCACAUUAUGUGUGUAGAUAUCUGUUUGGGGGGCACAUUGCCAUUCUUAGGAUGUUUGAAAUCCCAGUUAGUCUCCUCAGUCUGAUGGAAAUGUGAUUUGCAUCAGAGAGAGAGAGGAGAGGAAAAAAAAAAAAAGAAUAUCCAAAAGAGGAAGGCUUGUAAGGCAGUAGGCUAGACCAUUAUCUGCUGCACUGUCUGAAUUUCAUCAGUGGAAAUUGCUUCUUAUUUGCGAAACAGCUGUCACAAAUUUUACUCCAGAGGUGGUGAGUUUUUGUAAGUGUACACACACAAUAAUGGGUUUUGAUUUCCACAGAUAAAAUCCUGUCCUGGCUGUGAAAUGUAAGCAUUUUGGAUGCUGAGUGAAAACAGUAUUGUUCCUUUGUGUUAAAGAAGAACAGCAGUCCCUUUCCACUGAAACUUGCUGAUGAUGGAGAAUGUUUCCUUCUCUUUACUGUGAAUACACGAACACCCAAAAAGUCAUCCUCCCUCUGCUUGGCGCAAAAAAAAUCCCAACAACGUGUGUUGGGAUUGGGCUGCCCAGGUCAUUUUCGCUCUCACACAGUUUCAGCUCAUCUUGCGUUCUUGACACAGUUUGUUGGCUCUGGAUAUAUCGCAGGACAGAGCGAGCUGGUUAAGAUGGGAAGAUAGGGGGAUGAGGUAAAGAAUUUGGAGGACAUGUACGCAAAGAGAGAGAGGAUGUCCAUGGGAGCCAUGAAGCAGUCAUUACGGAGUGAAUAAAAUUAAACAGCAGGAAAGUAGACGAGGUAUGUUCUGUUCCUGGCACCGAAACUGAUCUCUGCAAUGAUUUUGGACAAGGUACUUGAUUUACUUGGCUGUCACUUUUCUUGCACAGUGCUGGAAACUUGACUUGUUGUUGCUGCUGAUCAGUUUUUAGGUGGAGCCCUGAUGGCACACUGCUCCUGGGGAACACGCACACAGCUGGGUGCCUGCUGCUGCCUUCUCUCCUGCAGGAUGUCUCCUGAAAUUCUGGUCAAUCUCAGUACAAACUGUUUUUUGGGAGAGGACAGUUACUGCUUUCAGGACGAAUGCAUAUCACUGAAGCAGGUACCUGGAGCUGGAAACACUUCUGCUUUGUGAUGCUGAUACAUGCAACUUGGCAAGUCUGCCUGUUCUUGCAGAGCAGAUGAGCACAGAGUGAGGCAGGAAGAACAGGUAGCAGAUGUAGAAUACUUCUUACAUACUUCACUCUGAUUUAUAUGCGCUGCAAGAGAAAAUGCUGCAAAAAGAAAGAUACAGGUCUAGGGGGUGAAAAGGAGAGGGAAAACACAUUUAAAAACAGCUCAAGCUGAUAUGACCUACUGUGUGUUUACUUACUGCUGAACGUAGGGAGAGUGAAAAUAGAAGCUUGUACUUCCAGAAAGGACUUUUCCUCUAUAGGAAGGCUGCUUUUGGACUGUUCAGCAUUGCAAACAUGGGACUGUCAGGCCAAGCAGAGAUGCAUAUGAUGGCAGGCAGACCAACGCCAGUGUGGGCUUUCAGACCCAGACACACAUGCUGCUGGUUUGUGUCUAGUAACCACAGAAGUAUGCUCUCUGAGCAGGUUUUUUGACAGUGCUUUGUUGUGUAAGGCUGGAGAGAGACAUUUGAAAACAAAAUACACCCCAGGGGAUCCUGUGUGCCGAACCACUGGAGAUGAUUUGGCGAUGCGCCAGUCCCCAGAAUAACGAGAUUGAAAAUGAGCUCUGACAGGUUAGAUGUAACACUGCAGGGCCAGCUGUGCCAGGCACCAGCCUCCCCAUUGGCAUGCCGAGGAGUUUCAGCUGCAAAGGCGUGUGCAGGGAGAAUUCAUUCCACCACAGAAUGGAAGCAAUGGCCUCCUUUGGAACGGAGACUGCUUUGGAGGCUGAUUCCAGGAGGACAUAUUCUCAGGGAGCAGGGAUUGGCUGUGUGUACCUCUACUGAGUGAUCCUAUGAACGGGCACAGAGCAGCUCAGGAGUGUGCUGGAGCCCUAGAUUUUCACUGCAAGUUGGAGAUCUAUCUCAUUUGGGAACUGCCAUUCUAGCUUCAGUUCCUGAAUGCUGCCCAAUGGAUAUGUUUGGUUUUCUGUGUGCAAGACUUUUGGUCCUGGAAUAAAUGGCAUAGGGUAAACAGGGGCUAAAACGAAACUUCUGAGCUCUUGGAUGGCUCAAGGUGAACGUUCAAACACAGGACUGGGUGUGGAUGGAAGCACACAGCCCACUGAGUCUUUGGACAGAGGAUUACAGUAUAGCUGCUGUUGUAAAUUUGGAUCGGAUGUGUUGGCCGAGCUGUGUCUGACAGGAGCCCUCUGUGUUCAACAUAAUAAAAGAGAAUUGGAAGGAAAUGCUUCUGCCUGUAAACGACUGUGACAGACCUGUGCAAUGAGAAAUGUCUGUCAGCGUGUUCAUAUGCACUAGAUUUAUUCAUUGAAAUGAUACGUUUGCUAGCAAAUUUUUAACAAGCUUACUCUAGUGGAAAACUCAGCCCUAAAUAGUUUAUUUCUCUCUCUUGACUUAAGAAAAUGAAGGAGAAAAAAAUAUUCAUUUAUUCUCCCCUCUCUGCCCUACUCUCCUCCAAAAUGGAGAAGAAUUUGCAUACGUGGCCUGAAUACAGUUUGGUUCUGAGCAAAGCACAGGUGACACUGCCAAGCGUGGUGUCUGUAUCUGCCACACUAAAACGUGCUCAGUCUCGAGAGGAAAUGCUGCUUUAUGGUCCAGUAUGGCAGUGCCCUCAGAGACUGGUAGCAAGGACGAGGUGGAGGGGAAGCAGAGCUGAAGAAAUCCUUACGUUGCCUUUGCUGAAGAGUUCUGCCUGCAUGCAGCUGGAGAUAGAAAUGGAAGGUGGGAGUUGGGACUGCACAGGAGCCCUUGUUGGGUGCUCUAUGUGGGAACAUGCCACAGGUGACUUUACUGUGCUCCCACUGGGGACGUAAAGGAUGUGAGAAAGAUAACCCACAGCUACACUUCUGCAGCACCAGCGCAGCCUGUAGUCCAAGUGCUGAUAUAUUAAAACCUGGAUAAAGAUUAGGAGCCUUAUGUUUAAUGGCUUCUGCUCAGAAUUCUGACAACUGUCCUGAACUUGAGCUUCAUGUGACAUUUCCCAAGAUAAAUUCAGCUCUUCUGAGUCAUCUAAUCUUCUGUCAGAGGCCAGGUAAAAUAUUUCAUGGACACCAAUGUUUAAUCUGGCAUCAAAAUUUCUAAUGGACAAAAAGGAGCUCUAGUUCCUCCCCAUGUUGUGAAUGUGAAGCCUGUUCUGCUGCCCUGGUGAAAUCCCAGCUUCACAGAACCCCUUGCAUUCCUUGCCACCAGGUUCACAGCGCUCAGGGGAAGCGGGCACACUGUAUUUUUUUCUCUCUAAAUUUUGCAUAAGGCUUUAGGCAAGAAAACAGUUCUGCAGAUAAUCUUGAAAUUAGUCUUCCAGCCUUUGUGUUAUUCAGGAUGCAAGUGAAAUAAGGGCUGGUUAGUUUGCGGGACAUCUGUUGCCCCAACCGUCUCUCUAGACCAGAUAAAAGCUGCAAACUAAACAUUCAUAUGGACUUUGUUUUUAAAAGCAAAAUGCUUGAAAACUAAUACUGGAAUCCAAAACUUUUUUCUGCCCAGGGCUUUCUUGGCAGCUCUAAGCAGACUUUGCAGCCUAUUCUAAUGUCUAGUCAGGAAAAGAAUCAGCUGAAAAAAAACAGCUGAAAACAGCUAAAAGAAAUUCUGUUUUCCUUAUGGACAUAAAGAGAUUUUUCUAGCUUUUUAAAGCUGUUUUCUUCUAAGAAGAUAUAUUCAGUUAUCUAUCCAUCUUCCCUCAGAUGGAGUCAUUGUAUUUUAUGUCUUUUUUUUGUUUUGUUUUGUUUUCUAAAGGAUCCUUGCUGUGCUGUGUGAAAAAGAACUGAUUCUUAUCUUGGAAAUUGAGAAUCGGACAUAGAAGUAAUAAAAGUCAAAAUGAUUUACCAGAACUAAUGAAGAAAUUCAGUGAUGGAGUUAAGAUUCAAAUCUAAAUCUGUUUCCUUCUCUAUGCCUUAUUUCAGAUUUAGGUCAGCUCUUUCUGGGCUGCAACUGGGAUCAUUGAAAGCAGUGCAGAGCCUUCCAGGAACUUCAGGAACUGAGAAACAGCAGCUGGGUGGUAACAGUUCCAGAGCUGCCGCGGAAGGGCAGGGGGUGACACCCUGAGGAGCAUUGUAUGGAGCCUUUUGUUAGAUGCAACAUCAAGGCAAGGCACCACAAGAAACUGAAUUUAUAAGUAACCCCUCAGGUGAAUUCACAGUAACCUGCACCAGGGUGCUAACAAACCUUCAUGGGGGACCACAGCCCCUGACCCAAGAGCCCUGUCCCAGCUCAGCCCAGGGCACGCUGUCCUUGCCCAAGCUGUGUUCCUGAGUCACUCUUUGUAUUUCCUGGGCUGACCUGAGGCCUGACUGCUCUUAUGACCUACUGAAACUACAUAUAUUUGGCAAUUUGUCACUGGACUAAAUAGAAUAGUGGUUUUGCAAAAGAAGAUCAUUUCUGUAAUUAGUAUGUAUCUUGGCAUGGUCCUUUGAACAAAACAGAUUUUACUUUAUAGAUGACUGUGUGGCUGAAAGAAGCUUCUAGAUCAGCUGAGCUGCAGUCGCAAGCAUCAAUAGACUGGGAGUCAUCAUGACCAGAUGUGUUCCUUACUGUACUAUGGUUUUUAUUUCCUUUUAACAUGAAAGCCUAUCUCUGUGUUAGUUAUGUUUUGGAAAUCACAUCAGGUGGUUGUUUUAUUUUAACUAGGAAGAAGGAACGUGUAAGCUCAAAUCAGUGUAAGAAAAAUGGAUCUAUUUUUAGGUGGCAAUAUAGUUAUGGAGCAAUAAUAAAAACAUUACCAAUCCACAGGCAUAUGGGACAAGAGUACCUACAGUCAGAAUGGUUUGUGUGCUGAAGGCAUAUAUAGAAAUUGCUCAUGUUCCCUAAAAAAGUAUCUUAUGAAAAUUCAUUGUUUUUUUUUUGAUACUUAUCAGUAUGUUUAUUAGUCUUAAUAAUGACACUGAUUCUACUAGUAAUUACUGUCAGAUAUGGUUCUCACAUGAACCAUUAUAGAUUUUUUUCUUAAUUUUGUGUCAUUAACCAAAUACUUCAGAAACAUGCUACUAAAGGAUGUUCUACUUUCUUGAGAAGAGACCUUAUAUUAGGUACUUGAGAAUCAAAUCCAGUGUAAGAACAAAGAGCUUGCAUGCAUUUACAGCAAUUAAAAGGGUAAAUCUUGGUUUCGAUGGAAUUUUUUUUUUGACUUCACAGUUCUAAAAUUAAUUUCAUAUUUCUCUAUUCCAUUCACAGAAUUUAAAGAGAGGUAGUACUGGCAAACAUGCGGCCUUUUUGCUGGCACGAAGAUGAAUCUGCUGGCCAGUCUUGCACGUAUGUCCCAGCAGUGGGACUACAGAGAUGUGGAAUGCCACAGUUCUAUGAUAGAGAGAUAGACAGCUCUCAGAUAGCUCUGGCUGCAGGAAGACAGUAGCAAGAGCUGCAGGGGACUGUAGCGAGAGCCUCAGCUCAUCCUUUUCUCCCAUCUCUGAGAGCAGCCACCUGCUUUGUAAGGACCUUUGUAAAGAAGUUAGGGAGGUUCUUAUCUGAAGGGAAAGCUUCCAGCUGUGUGUCUUGACAUAGGCUACGUUCUUGCAUAUCUUUCUUCCUGUUCAUAUAACUGUAGAUGUUCUCCCUGAGGUGAAUUGUCAGUGUCAGCUGUCGUUGCUCCAGUGGCUUCAGGAGAGAUGACAACAAAUGUGUCUGAGAACUGCUCUGCUCUCUGCAAGUCUGCCUCUCAAACCCACGCAGCUUUCCAGCUCCUGUUCAGCUUUCAGUCCAUGAAAGCACAGUGCUCUCAUCUCCUGAAUUGCCAGGAUUCGAACAACUUCACUGGGGCUGUCUUAAGUAGGAAUUGCCUCUCCAGGUCUGGGCAGAAUUACUUACCACCAAUGAGGGAUUCAGAGCACUGAACCACAUAGAGACCCAAGGAGGUGUCGGAAGGCAGUUUUGGUGUUCUUGUUGUAGUUUUGUUAACCAGCCUGAGGUGGGCUGUGUAGCAGUCCCAUUUUGUGCUUGAUACAGGGCCACACACCACAAGACUUCAUCGGCACAAGAGCUAGAGGUGAGUGGUUGUGAAGUACUUCCAAGCUAGGGGUGAGUGGAGCAUCAGUAUUCUGAAUCUUCUGUGGGACUUAGCUGCCACUCUUGCAUCAAAUACAAGCCUGGGUAAUUAUUUAGAUGGCAUCUCAUCCUAAAAUAAUUAGGAGUUUUUAAGCUUCCUCGGGCCCUGAUAAGGCAGAUCUCAGCCUAUCUUUCAAAGAAUAUUUUCCUGAUUGAUAGGAAUGCUUUCAGAUGUGGCUUAUUUUUUCUUAGAGGACAAACAUAUAUGAAGUUCUUGUAUCACCUGGUAGAAGUGAAGGGCCAGUAACUUCUUUCUCAUUUAUUUUCAGUCAGUUUAUCUGUUUGAGUUGCAAUUGGAUUUAUUUUCUCAGGGUUAGAGCUUCUUUAAGGGCCUCUUAUUCAUGCUCUCUUUCCUUUAAAAUUAACGGAUUUUCUGGGGAACAGCAAAGAGGACACUUAAAUUAUAACUCUUUUCAGAAGCCUUAUAUAUUCAGUGAGGUUGUUUGCAAUUAUUGUCAUUGCUAAUUUGAUUAGCUCAGUCUUUCAUACUUCUCUUUCUUCCCUGGAAGACACAGCUCUGAAGUACUCAUCUCCACAACACAAGCUGUGAGAGCAGUAAAUCCGCUGGCUUCUGUGCUGUGUCUCUCGCUUAGUUGCUCUCUGUGUUUUUGGUUAUCUAUGGAGUGAAUCACUCCUUGAGCUCUGAACACUUCAUACAAAGAAUUGUAGCAUCGGGGCCAGGUGAGCUUUUCUUGCUGGGUCAUCUGUCUUGCAAAAGACAUCAUCUCUUUCCUACUGCUCUCAGCACGCUGCUGACAAGCUGGUAUUCCUAGAAAUGGGGAUGAGUCUUAACUUCAGUCCUUAGGAGAAUUAUCCCUUGACAGUAUAAGCAGCCCAAACUUUCUUUUGAAGCCCAAGGAUGUGACUGCUUAGGUUAAAGAAUGUGAAACUCUGGAGAAAAUGAGCACUCUUUUGUACUAUUAAAAGUGACUUAAUCACUGGUGAUCAGUAAUAAACUGUGCUACUUGUUGGACAGGUUCUGACUUUGAGGGCAUUGCAAUGAAGACCUUGGCAACAGAAAGAUGGAGACAACUACAUUUUUAUAAUUUAGGAGAGAAAUUUCUCUGAGGAGACAUAACUGGGUCUUUGUCUUCAAGGUCACCUAGUGCAUAUUCCUUACUUUGUUAAUUCCUUUCCUGUGGGACAGCAUAAAUCCAUUUUGUACAAGAUAGGACAGAGAGUGAUGACCUGAAGCUGAGGCAGCAAAAAUUGAAGCUAAACAUCAGUAAAAUUCUUCAUGAGUUUUAAUAGUGAGCAUCAAGAACAGCUCAAAUGGUACAGACCUGAAGCAACAUUCCUUAAGGGAAUAAAAACCAUCAGCAAUUAACGAUGACAUACUAAGCAGUGUUACUGAGAAGAAAAUUAACGUACUAGAGAAAGCAUCGGUGCUAUGCAGGGUGCUAUGUCUCUGUAAAGUUUCUGCGGUGAAAGAGUUUAAUCUUCAUUAGCAGUGUUGGUAGGAUUGUAUGGAGCUGACGAACAGAGGGUUUGGAUUUGCCUAGACAACAUUUUUAUCACUGCAGCAAAUGUUGCCAGGAUUAGCAUUAUUUUGAUUGCCAUUAAAUGAAUAGGGAGCGUGUUGGAAGGGAGACCAAUUCCCAAAGCACUGGUUUUCUUCCGUUUCUGGAAACGAAACCAGGUACAGAGCAGAUUUUAUUUCCUAAAGUAAAUAAACUUCAGAGUGAAUUUAGUUAAUUGCCAUCCAACAAAAUAGCCUAUCAGAUUAAAAUUAUUUCCAGGUCAGUGGCAAGAUCUGUGCAAGGAAUUUAAAAGAAAUGCUAAUACUUUCUGGUCAGGAACUCAGAAAUUAGGAGACAGAAGAGUUACCAUUUCUCAAAAAUAUUGCUUUGUUGAAUAUGCACGACAGAGUACCUGAUUGCCAGCUUAUUCCAACAAUGGAUUUCAGUCCGUGUCAGCCUUGGUUGAUCACAGCUGGGAUCAGGAUUGACUGGCAUGGAUAAAGCACCCUUAGCCUAGAAAUACUGAUGGCCAAAACUUCUGUGCAAGUUCCCCACUCGGUCCUUCCUGCUGAAGCUGGGCAGAAGUGACUGUGUGACAUUUUUAAGGUCAGAUUGUGCAUAUCCUAUUUGUAAUAUCUGUCUCUUGGAUUGAAAGGUGGGACGCCAGUGUCUGUGUUCCCUGCUUCUUUCGGUCACUUCAGUUUCCAGGGUCAGUUGUGCUGAUUCAGCCUUGGGGGUUCCCCUUCAGUCACCAGAUCACACUUAUAAAGUCAGAGAUUUGGGUCAGAGAUCUGAAGGAGUAACCACGUUAUUUCUUAAUCUUUGCAUACUUAAAACUGUGCCCAUCGGCUACCAGCUAUAAUAUCAUCCAGUUCUUAUACAGCUUUUCAGCCACAGAUUGGAGAGUACUGCAAGGAUUGUUUCUGUGGGCAUAAGUCCUUUGGAAAUGUCAGCCAUCUGCAGCUCACCUGGUGCCCUGCUCAGCAGAACUGCAGACAAAUUGCUCCAGUACCUUCUUUAGGGGUCUGCUUACCAAUGAGCAUCCUGUUGUCAGGAUAAGCCUUGGUCUGCCAUGGUUUUGUCCUGAAGCUACCUUGCUCUGAGUAAAUCCUGGAUCAUACAGUAUGCCUGACUAAACAAUGACCCAGUGAAUCACAUCAGAGGAACAUCUUCACUUUAAGUGGAAGGUUAAAAUCGUGCAGGUCAACCUUACUCUUCUGUCCUGGAGCUGAUAGUGUGCCAUGAAACAACCUCAGCUCAGGAGUGUUGUCUGAAGGCUGUGCUUACCACACUGAUCACAGGUAGCUGCCUCCUGCGGGACAGGGCUCAACUCACUGCUUAAGGAUCAUGCUGGAAGCGGGCCAGGCUUGAGCCUGUUUUUGUUACAGUAUGGGCUGAAAGGGAUUGGCAGAUGAAAGCAUCCCCUUACAGAUGUGGAAACCACAAACCAUACCAAGCCGUCCGGGACCGUAUCUGGGAAGUGAGGCAGGCUAUAAAUACAAACGCAAACUAGGCCCCUAUGUCCGUAUGUGAUCAAAACAAAGUGGAUUAUCAAAUUAUUGUCUGAUAGCUGAGCUGCAGUAAGACUCUGCGUGCACCGCAGCGGUGAGAUAAAAUCCAUUUUGCACAUGAAAUUGGCUGAGAGCGAAUAUGCACUUAGUUACACAAGGUAGCAGGCAGGUGGCAAUUUGCAGUAAUAUAUUCACUUUUAACCGUGUGCCUGUGCUUUGAGAUGAUGAAUGACUAUAAAAUGCAAAUUAACCACCGUUAACGAGGAAGAAGAGCCAGGGUGCUGCUGUGUUGUUUCUUUAUUUCCUUAGGUUUUAUGUGGAUCAGGCUCAGCUGAUAUGGACCCAUGUUUUAGUGUUUAGCAGGAAAGGCAGUGAAGAUGCAGAAACAUUCCUGAGCACGCUGCAGGUGCGUGCUGUUAUUAAAGAAAUAACAGUGGUCCGUCCUGUCAGGGAUCCCCAAAGGCCGGCGGCUCAUCAUUAUUUCUCCAGUUUUGUAUCAUUUUGUACGUGUGAAGCUAUUUACAGCCUUCCCUUUCACUUGCCUUUGUCUAAAUGUAUUUUCGGGCUGCUUGAAAGGGUUAAGAACAGACACAGACAUAUCCUGUUGGGAAAAAUGGGGGGAUGCAUCCCAGACUCUUUCUUUCAUUUCAGACAUAGUUAUGCUCAUUUUUACCACUAAUAACUGGUCACUGUGGACAAAUAGAUUGAAAACAUGCAAAGAGGGACAAAAUAAACAUGCUGCAAACCCACUUCUCUCUAACUAGGUUACUUAAUAUGGCCCUAUGAGAUAACAGCAGUAUGAGAGUAAGACGUAAGAUACACAGAGCACCAGAGUUCAACAAGAGCAAGCAUGUAUUUCAGUAUGCUCAGAGCGCUGACCUGGGAACCUGCAUCCUGCCUCGCUUCAAGCAUUUCUCUGGAUGAUUUAAUUUAGAGUUGUAUUACAUUCCUCAGUUCCUCAUUUGUGUCUCGCUCUGUGAUAAUUUUCAUCCCCUGAUGAAGCAUUCUGAACUUUCACUUUCCUGGAGAAUGAAGCCAACAGACUCUAUGAAUGUAUCACUGUUUGUAGACAUUGAGUUUUCACUUUAGGGCAGCACAAGAACUUUCCAGAUUAGAGAUCCCAGUUAAGGUGGGGGGGAGUGAGCUACAGCAUAGUCACCGACACGUCAAGCAGUGACGUACAGAAGUCUCUUCUCACUGGGUUAAAUCUUCUGUGUUCCUCUCUUAGAGUGCCUUGGAAUAGCCCCAGCAUCUUGGAAGGACCAGAUGCCUUCAUUCGGUGCCGCUGGGUGUCUCACUGCACACCUUUCAUUGUCAACCAGCUUUCAGGUAAAACUGAAGCAUGGCCGUCACGUCAGCGCUGUCUGGCUGGUAAGGAAGGAGAAGUGCAGUUUCUAGAAAUGACCUGAAUGGUUUGUUAUUUUCUUGAUGCAUUUUGCUAGCCAACUAGCGAGGGUUGGACGUGUCCCGCCGUCUCAGAGCUAACUGUAAAGAGGUGAUGCAAAUACAAAUGCUAAUUCCCUGUCAGAGGCUACCAGCCAGGUUCUGCUCUCUGCUUCAUUAGAGAAAAACACAUAGGGACUGCAGUGAGAUCAGCAGACUCUGUCUAGAUUUACACUCAUGUGAUAGAGUUUGGCCCAAAGAGACUGAAAACAACUGAGGUAUCACUUAUUCAUUGAAUAUAGCUGUCGUACUCUGUUCAGGAAAAUAUUUUAACCAGGCCCUUUAUAAUAUUGCCUGUGCUCUAUGACUAAUUUCUACAGCAAUACCAAUUUAAUACUGUAGCAAUUUAUUCACUGAGAAGGAAGGAAAUUGCUUGGUUGAAUAAUGGAGAGGAGAAAGAACCCAGGAGGUGCGUGGCAGUUUCCAUUGACCAAAGGAGUACUAACUAACUAUAACGCAACGAAACAAAGUUCCUUCAAGAGCAAUAAAUAAGGAGCUUAAUACAUCACUCGCAGGUACGAGCUGCUUAAUCUUUGUAAGACAUUGGUUUUGGCUGCUUGGAAGCCAGACUCCGUUUUGCCUGACAUAAACAUUACUUUCACAGCCCCGAGCCAUCAGUUUGCAACUAGCACAGGCAAUCAUUUUACUGCAGUGCUUCUGCUAAUUUUGUCUCCAUACCAUUGCUGUGCUGAAGCGGGGGAAAGCAGUCAGAACACUGGUAAGUAGCUCUUACGAUCACAGGAGAGGGCUGCUCCUGUGUUUUGCUGUUGGGAUUUUUUUUUAAGUGUAAGUAAACUCAUAUUAAGUGGAAGCUGGUUUGUGCUCUUCUCCUUCAGGUUUGCAAUUCUUAAAGUGCAGAAGUUGCAGUGCAAGUUAUCUUAGCCUGUUCUGAGAAAUGUAGGAUGAAAUAUGAAAAAUGACUCAGCCCUGCUGAUUUUAUUGAGCAUCCUUUUAGAAACACUGUGAAAUGUCUGAAUGAAUCCAGGAAGAUGAAGCCUCAGAAACGCACCACCUAAAUAAUGAGCCUGUAACUGCAGCUUGUCUGUUCUCGAACAGGCAGUCUGCUCACCUGCUGUCCUGAGAUGAGGUAGAAACUGCCCUCCCUUCAUGCAUUUUUCUCUGCUGUGGAAGAGGGAGAUGUGAUGGUGCUGGAGUGGUAUUCAGCUUUGUUUUUUUUCCGUUGUUUUUUUUUCCCCUAAUAAAGUGAACUGCCGGAGAACGGAACCAACAGAAGCGCGUAGCACUGCGCAUGCGCACAGGCUCGCCACAGAA